Molecule: ribosomal RNA, 555 nt
Filed under: uncultured rumen bacterium
Lineage: Bacteria
Description: bacterial SSU rRNA
Rfam family: Bacterial small subunit ribosomal RNA
Source: RNAcentral
CGCUGGCAGCGUGGAUUAGGCAUGCAAGUCGAACGGGAUCCGGAAGGCAGCAAUGUCGGCCGGUGAGAGUGGCGGAAGGGCGAGGAACACGUGGGCAACCUGUCCUUGAGGUGGGGAAAACCUCUGGAAACGGAGGCUAAUACCGAAUGCGGCGCGGAGGAGGCAUCUUCCCCGCGCCAAAGGGGGCCGCAAGGCUCUCCCUCAUCGAGGGGCUCGCGCACCAUCAGCUUGUUGGCGGGGUAACGGCCCACCAAGGCUUACGGUUAGCUGGUCUGAGAGGAUGGCCAGCCGCACUGGGACUGAGAUACUGCCCAGACUCCUACGGGAGGCUGCAGUCGAGGAUCAUUCGCAAUGGGGGAAACCCUGACGAUGCGACGCUGCGUGGAGGAUGGAGGCCUUCGGGUCGUAAACUCCUGUCAUGAAGGAAAAGGAGAGGGGCGCCAACACCGCCCCGAUUUGAUGGUACUUCAAGAGGAAGAGACGGCUAACUCUGUGCCAGCAGCCGCGGUAAUACAGAGGUCUCGAGCGUUGUUCGGAUUUACUGGGCGUAAAGGG